This 492-nucleotide ribosomal RNA is filed under the name uncultured bacterium. RNAcentral describes it as "partial 16S ribosomal RNA". It matches the Rfam family "Bacterial small subunit ribosomal RNA", at positions 29 to 507 of the family's 1533-position model. The record is from RNAcentral.
AGUGAACGCUGGCGGUAGGCCUAACACAUGCAAGUCGAACGGCAGCACAGUAAGAGCUUGCUCUUACGGGUGGCGAGUGGCGGACGGGUGAGGAAUACAUCGGAAUCUACUUUUUCGUGGGGGAUAACGUAGGGAAACUUACGCUAAUACCGCAUACGACCUACGGGUGAAAGCAGGGGAUCUUCGGACCUUGCGCGAUUGAAUGAGCCGAUGUCGGAUUAGCUAGUUGGCGGGGUAAAGGCCCACCAAGGCGACGAUCCGUAGCUGGUCUGAGUGGAUGAUCAGCCACACUGGAACUGAGACACGGUCCAGACUCCUACGGGAGGCAGCAGUGGGGAAUAUUGGACAAUGGGCGCAAGCCUGAUCCAGCCAUACCGCGUGGGUGAAGAAGGCCUUCGGGUUGUAAAGCCCUUUUGUUGGGAAAGAAAAGCAGCAGGUUAAUACCCCGCUGCUCUGACGGUACCCAAAGAAUAAGCACCGGCUAACUUCGUG